UGCACCUGAUUGAUUUUGGUCGCCAACGAGUGGCGGACGGGUGAGUAACACGUAGGUAACCUGCCCAGAAGCGGGGGACAACAUUUGGAAACAGAUGCUAAUACCGCAUAACAGCGUUGUUCGCAUGAACAACGCUUAAAAGAUGGCUUCUCGCUAUCACUUCUGGAUGGACCUGCGGUGCAUUAGCUUGUUGGUGGGGUAACGGCCUACCAAGGCGAUGAUGCAUAGCCGAGUUGAGAGACUGAUCGGCCACAAUGGGACUGAGACACGGCCCAUACUCCUACGGGAGGCAGCAGUAGGGAAUCUUCCACAAUGGGCGCAAGCCUGAUGGAGCAACACCGCGUGAGUGAAGAAGGGUUUCGGCUCGUAAAGCUCUGUUGUUAAAGAAGAACACGUAUGAGAGUAACUGUUCAUACGUUGACGGUAUUUAACCAGAAAGUCACGGCUAACUACGUGCCAGCAGCCGCGGUAAUACGUAGGUGGCAAGCGUUAUCCGGAUUUAUUGGGCGUAAAGAGAGUGCAGGCGGUUUUCUAAGUCUGAUGUGAAAGCCUUCGGCUUAACCGGAGAAGUGCAUCGGAAACUGGAUAACUUGAGUGCAGAAGAGGGUAGUGGAACUCCAUGUGUAGCGGUGGAAUGCGUAGAUAUAUGGAAGAACACCAGUGGCGAAGGCGGCUACCUGGUCUGCAACUGACGCUGAGACUCGAAAGCAUGGGUAGCGAACAGGAUUAGAUACCCUGGUAGUCCAUGCCGUAAACGAUGAGUGCUAGGUGUUGGAGGGUUUCCGCCCUUCAGUGCCGGAGCUAACGCAUUAAGCACUCCGCCUGGGGAGUACGACCGCAAGGUUGAAACUCAAAGGAAUUGACGGGGGCCCGCACAAGCGGUGGAGCAUGUGGUUUAAUUCGAAGCUACGCGAAGAACCUUACCAGGUCUUGACAUCUUGCGCCAACCCUAGAGAUAGGGCGUUUCCUUCGGGAACGCAAUGACAGGUGGUGCAUGGUCGUCGUCAGCUCGUGUCGUGAGAUGUUGGGUUAAGUCCCGCAACGAGCGCAACCCUUGUUACUAGUUGCCAGCAUUAAGUUGGGCACUCUAGUGAGACUGCCGGUGACAAACCGGAGGAAGGUGGGGACGACGUCAGAUCAUCAUGCCCCUUAUGACCUGGGCUACACACGUGCUACAAUGGACGGUACAACGAGUCGCGAACUCGCGAGGGCAAGCAAAUCUCUUAAAACCGUUCUCAGUUCGGACUGCAGGCUGCAACUCGCCUGCACGAAGUCGGAAUCGCUAGUAAUCGCGGAUCAGCAUGCCGCGGUGAAUACGUUCCCGGGCCUUGUACACACCGCCCGUCACACCAUGAGAGUUUGUA
RNAcentral lists this ribosomal RNA (1364 nucleotides) under Limosilactobacillus fermentum. Its description in RNAcentral is "bacterial SSU rRNA". It matches the Rfam family "Bacterial small subunit ribosomal RNA", at positions 64 to 1416 of the family's 1533-position model. The record is from RNAcentral. Lineage: Bacteria; Bacillati; Bacillota; Bacilli; Lactobacillales; Lactobacillaceae.